UCAGUAUCCGCUAUAGCAAGACAACCAAGAGAUAAAACAACAACGUAUGAAGCAUAAUUAACCAGAUCAAUGGAACCAUCGGGUUUUUUGAAACAAUUUGGGGAACCAAAUUUUUGGUAAAAAUUUUCUCUUGUAAAAACAGGAAAUAAAGGAUUGUAUGAUUUGAAGUAGGCAUCUAUGUAUAUAUUGGCAAUCUCUGAAGAAGGUAAUUCGGCUUUUGAGCCAUCGAAACUCUCAUCAGGAUCAAACAAACAACCCGAUUUAGCCAUGGACAGAUGCUCUAAAACUUUAUCGGAUUCAACUCCUGAUGCAAAUUUUGCAGCAUGUUGAAUAAUGGAAAAGGUAGAUGAAGAGCCGAAAUAUUUUUGAGAACCGAUCGGAGUAGUGACGAGAGUCCCCAUUUUUUCAUUCAAAAACGCUAUAUCGUCGGUGGAGUCAUCGGAAGAAGUUUCGCCUUUCGUACAGUUUAGAUCAUGAUAGUUUUUGGGAGUAGAGGAGGGAUGUAUAAUAUCAGGCUGCUGGUC
Non-coding RNA from Schizosaccharomyces pombe (fission yeast), 524 nucleotides. NCBI's taxonomy places the organism in Eukaryota, Fungi, Ascomycota, Schizosaccharomycetes, Schizosaccharomycetales, Schizosaccharomycetaceae. The record is from the annotation of a GenBank genome assembly.